RNAcentral lists this ribosomal RNA (362 nucleotides) under uncultured bacterium. RNAcentral's name for it is "bacterial SSU rRNA". It matches the Rfam family "Bacterial small subunit ribosomal RNA", at positions 150 to 507 of the family's 1533-position model. The record is from RNAcentral.
AGAGAAAUUUGGAUUAAUACCUCAUAGUAUGUGAGGAUGGCAUCAUUUUCACAGUUAAAGUCACAACGGCAAAAGAUGAGCAUGCGUCCCAUUAGCUAGUUGGUAAGGUAACGGGCUUACCAAGGCUACGAUGGGUAGGGGGUCCUGAGAGGGAGAUCCCCCACACUGGUACUGAGACACGGACCAGACUCCUACGGGAGGCAGCAGUGAGGAAUAUUGGACAAUGGGCGCAAGCCUGAUCCAGCCAUGCCGCGUGCAGGAUGACGGUCCUAUGGAUUGUAAACUGCUUUUGUACAGGAAGAAACACUACUUCGUGAAGUAGCUUGACGGUACUGUAAGAAUAAGGAUCGGCUAACUCCGUG